Molecule: ribosomal RNA, 490 nt
Filed under: uncultured bacterium
Lineage: Bacteria
Description: partial 16S ribosomal RNA
Rfam family: Bacterial small subunit ribosomal RNA
Source: RNAcentral
AGUGAACGCUGGCGGCAGGCCUAACACAUGCAAGUCGAACGGCAGCACAAGAGAGCUUGCUCUCUGGGUGGCGAGUGGCGGACGGGUGAGGAAUGCAUCGGAAUCUGCCCAUUUGUGGGGGAUAACCUCGGGAAACCGGGACUAAUACCGCAUACGACCUACGGGUGAAAGCAGGGGAUCUUCGGACCUUGCGCAGAUGGAUGAGCCGAUGCUGGAUUAGCUAGUUGGAGGGGUAAAGGCCCACCAAGGCGACGAUCCGUAGCUGGUCUGAGAGGAUGAUCAGCCACACUGGGACUGAGACACGGCCCAGACUCCUACGGGAGGCAGCAGUGGGGAAUAUUGGACAAUGGGCGCAAGCCUGAUCCAGCCAUGCCGCGUGUGUGAAGAAGGCCUUCGGGUUGUAAAGCACUUUUGUUGGGAAAGAAAAGCAGCCGGUUAAUACCCGGUUGUCAUGACGGUACCCAAAGAAUAAGCACCGGCUAACUUCGUG